RNAcentral lists this ribosomal RNA (453 nucleotides) under uncultured bacterium. Its description in RNAcentral is "bacterial SSU rRNA". It matches the Rfam family "Bacterial small subunit ribosomal RNA", at positions 340 to 784 of the family's 1533-position model. The record is from RNAcentral.
UACGGAAGGCAGCAGUGGGGAAUAUUGCACAAUGGGCGAAAGCCUGAUGCAGCUAUGCCGCGUGUAUGAAGAAGGCCUUAGGGUUGUAAAGUACUUUCAUCGGGGAGGAAAAAACAAAACUAAUAAUUUUAUUUCUUGACGUUACCCGAAAAAGAAGCACCGGCUAACUCCGUGCCAGCAGCCGCGGUAAUACGGAGGGUGCUAGCGUUAAUCAGAAUUACUGGGCGUAAAGAGCACGUAGGUGGUUUUUUUAAGUCAGAUGUGAAAUCCCUGGGCUUAACCUGGAACUGCAUUUUGAAACUGAAAUACUAGAGUAUCGUAGAGGGAGGUAGAAUUCUAGGUGUAGCGGUGAAAUGCGUAGAUAUCUGGAGGAAUACCUGUGGCGAAAGCGGCCUCCUAAACGAAUACUGACACUGAGGUGCGAAAGCGUGGGGAGCAAACAGGGAUUAGAUU